CAGCUUAGUGAUGACCUAAAAGAACACAGAAGAUUCUCACUGAUUACCUUUGCAAGUGACACAAGACUGGAAGAACUAAAGGUUAUGAAGAGGCCAGUGAUAGAGAGCUUUCUGCCUGAAUUGAUAAGGCUCUUCUACAAGAAUUUCUAGCUGCAACACUCCGAUUGCCUCAUGCUGCUACACAGACAGUGUGAAGGAACAUAGGUAAACAUUUUACAAAGACAACAGCCACUGAAGUGCAAUAUUGACAUGUCACCUUCAAGAAUGCUAGAUUUUGUUGUGUUUUGCUUAAUUUAUUUUGUAUAUUUAUUGGUAUUAACAAAAGCUAAAAUGCUUAUUUAUAAGUAAAAUGCUUACCAUGGAAAAAUGUUGAAUCUGGAAACAGAUCUCUAACAUCUCAGCCAGAAGUGUGACAUUUUUCCUGGGGACAGAUUGUCAGCCAUGACCAAGAAUGGCCCAGCAGAAUUGAGGAUGUAUACAAAUUGGAGACUGUCCAGAAGAAAGCAACAGGAAUGAUAAAAGGUUUAUAAAACAUGAGUGAUGAGGAAAUGUUGAAGGAACCAAGUUUGUUUAGUCUAGAGAAAAAGGACUAUGGGGGGAAAGUAUGAGUUUUUCAAUAAGUAAACAGCUGCUUUAAAGAGGACUGUUAUCAUUUGUACUCCAUGGCCACUGCGAGGAGGACAAAAAUAAAUCAAUGUAAUCUGCGGCAAAGACA
This is a long non-coding RNA of Oxyura jamaicensis (ruddy duck), 715 nucleotides long. RefSeq lists it as uncharacterized. The transcript is spliced from 2 exons. Lineage: Eukaryota; Metazoa; Chordata; Aves; Anseriformes; Anatidae. The record is from RefSeq and is a predicted model, not a curated record.